GACGAACGCUGGCGGCGUGCUUAACACAUGCAAGUCGAACGGAAAGGCCCUGCUUUUGUGGGGUGCUCGAGUGGCGAACGGGUGAGUAACACGUGAGUAACCUGCCCUUGACUUUGGGAUAACUUCAGGAAACUGGGGCUAAUACCGGAUAGGAGCUCCUGCUGCAUGGUGGGGGUUGGAAAGUUUCGGCGGUUGGGGAUGGACUCGCGGCUUAUCAGCUUGUUGGUGGGGUAGUGGCUUACCAAGGCUUUGACGGGUAGCCGGCCUGAGAGGGUGACCGGCCACAUUGGGACUGGGAUACGGCCCAGACUCCUACGGGAGGCAGCAGUGGGGAAUAUUGCACAAUGGGCGGAAGCCGGAUGCAGCAACGCCGCGUGCGGGAUGACGGCCUUCGGGUUGUAAACCGCUUUCGCCUGUGACGAAGCGUGAGUGACGGUAAUGGGUAAAGAAGCACCGGCUAACUACGU
Molecule: ribosomal RNA, 467 nt
Filed under: uncultured bacterium
Lineage: Bacteria
Description: partial 16S ribosomal RNA
Rfam family: Bacterial small subunit ribosomal RNA
Source: RNAcentral